UCUUGGAAAUAAAAAGAAAAAUCUACCGGAGUACUACGAAUAAAAAAAUUUAAAACUCAAAGAGCUUGGCGGUGCUUUAGACUUUUCAGGGGAACCUGUCUUAUAAUCGACAAUCCACGCUAUACCUGACCUUAAUCUUGCACACAAUUUGUAUACCGUCGUCGUCAGGUAACUUUUAAAAAUCUUAAUAGUUAGCGAAAGAGUCUAAUAAACUUAAACGUCAGAUCAAGGUGCAAUUAAUGAUAAGGGCAAGAUGGGUUACAAUUAUUAAAAUAAUAAUACGAAAAACUAGUUGAAACAUUACUUCAAAGGAGGACUUGAAAGUAAAAACUUAUAUAUAUAUAUAGAUUGAAUAAAGCUCUGAAGCGUGC
This 371-nucleotide ribosomal RNA is filed under the name Vexillum deshayesii. Its description in RNAcentral is "partial 12S ribosomal RNA". The record is from RNAcentral. Lineage: Eukaryota; Metazoa; Mollusca; Gastropoda; Neogastropoda; Costellariidae.